Molecule: long non-coding RNA, 2130 nt
Organism: Engraulis encrasicolus (European anchovy)
Lineage: Eukaryota; Metazoa; Chordata; Actinopteri; Clupeiformes; Engraulidae
Exons: 3
Source: RefSeq, a predicted model, not a curated record
UGUGGUUUCACUGUUACAAGUUUCUUGGCGAUAUGGGGGAAAGUUCCUCACAUACCAACGGAAAAUGGGCUUCACAUACAUGUAAGUAAAUUUUACUCAACUGUGGUUUAAAGUUUCAGUACUCAAGAGCGAUUGAAUAGCUCCUCUGAACACAGAUCCGCCAUUGCUAAGUUGUAGCACAAGUCCCCUCAAUGAAUGUGACUACUCUUGUUGCUGCUGUACGCUAGUAAAUUCUGACAACUUGCGAGCAUCGUAAUGACAAAAUGCAGUAGUGAAACGGUGAAUAUGUUAAGUAUACUUGUUGAUGGAAAGUUGUUUGACAUUGCUCGUUCUCAAUUGCCUUUCCCCUGCCUAAAGAUGAUUCCCAGUUUGUCGCUCCCAGCGCGGUUCGAUCCCCAGUCGGUUCGCUCCCACUAGCCAGACUAUCGAGCCCACCGAGCUAGUUAUCUUUUUGAUGUUAGUUUUUUUGUUACGUACCCUAAACCUAACCCUUACCUUAACCCUAAACCUAACCCUGAAUUGCUUGUAUGUGGUAGUGUAUGAUAAUACGAGAAAUGUAAUCGGGUGGGAUAGAACGCCUGGGAUUGAUAGAAUCACCUGGGACUACACGUCCGGGAGUGAUCUUACAUGGGAGUGACCAUCUCCCAGCGCUUAAGAUUGACAAAGGCUACGUUAGCAUGCUAUUGCGUUAGCUCAUCAACUAGUUGCUGGGCACUGCUCAUUUUUCACGUCUGCCCGGCAUUUCGCUGAUGAACUAACGCUUGGACGUCUUGCCAAUGUAUUUUACAGCGGCAAAAAUGCAUCUAGGCGACGUUGGCAAGAUUGGUGUGCCGUCUGGGUAUGUUGGUUUUCAGUGCUGGGCAGUAGCGAAGCGACUAGUUUAAUUACAUUCCCUAGUAGCUUGGUCGUAGCGUCAUUACUCGACUAACGUCCCUGUAGUUAGGAAAGAAAUAGUUUGGAAAUCAAUGUGAAAUACCCUGGCAUUUGCAACAGUAGGCAACCUGUCCUUAAAAAGUAUGGGUCCUCAAAACACCACUUGUUGCACAAAUAAGUGUUGCAAUAGAGCACGCCACCCCGAAAUCAAUGUGAAAUACCCUGGCAUUUGCAACAGUAGGCAGGCAGCAUGUCCUUAAAACGUAUGGGUCCUCAAAACAGCACUUGUUGAACAAAUAAGUGUAGCUGGCCUCUUCAAGAAAUUGAAAUUAUGCAUGGUCACUUUUUCUUAUUGUUUCACGUGGAGGUCUACUGACAUUGUAUAAAUAAUGUAGGCUAGUUUAUGUCCAUGUAUUAUAUUAGGACCCAAGGUUAAUGGGUUAUUCUGUUUACCAUGUUUUCACAGGCUGCUGUCUCAUAAUAUGGCGAAGACGAGUCACUUGAAGGCCUAACAGCUCUUAUGAGGAGCAGUCUUGCCAUAGAAGACUGAAAGAAUGUAAGAUUAACUUCUUUGUGACCAAUAUGACUUGCUCAUUGAUACAUUAGCUAUGUCAAUAUGAGAUGCAUGGCGAAGUAUUUAAUUUAUUUGUCUCUCUUCUAGGAGCUGUAGAAACAACAGGGUGCCUGCUGCAGUAUGACGAGGACGCCCUGAUCAUAGAAGGUCCAGUGUCUUGGCAGGGUGAAAUGGCACUGAUAUCGUGUCCUGCAGGAUGCUGUGUCCUGCAAUCCUGUGUGCUGUGCUACAGACGCGUGUGGAGGUCAACCCGAAAUGGGCACAGUAGAGUGAAAGAGGAUCCUGGCAGGGAGACGGUAGUGUCCUGCAGGAUGGUGAUGGGCAAUCUUACAAGAGACCACAGAAAACUGAUAUAGUGUAAGAUUAUCCCUGUUGGGCUCAAUAUGUCUUGCUUAUUGAUAUAUUUGCUAUGUCAAUAUGAGGUGCAUGACGAAGUAUUUAUUUAUUUGUUAUUUCUACAGCUCCCAGAAGUGAGACUGAGUGCCUGUUGCAGUAUGACGAGGAAGCAGUGACCAGAGACCUUCAGUAGACCCUGCUGGCAUGAUUGGCGGCUGAAGAACAUAAUCAACAGCAAUGUUUACUUUAUAAUAUUGUACAUACCUGUAUAGUCUGCACUAAAAUGCUGUACCUGUACUAUUUUUCCUCUUACUUUCAUAUUUACCACGUAUUUACUAUGAAUUGAC